GUAGAGGAAAGGGAAGGUGCUGUGAAGAGG
This 30-nucleotide non-coding RNA is filed under the name Cricetulus griseus (Chinese hamster). Lineage: Eukaryota; Metazoa; Chordata; Mammalia; Rodentia; Cricetidae. The record is from RNAcentral.